GGGGGCCGGCAUGGUGGGAAAGUUCAGCAGGGAGGCCUUGGGAUGUCCGGAUUCUUGGCAUCUUCAGACCUGGAGAAGAGAGGAGUCCUGUGGGCCAGGGCAGGUCCCUGAGACAGGGUCCGAGUUUGAGAUGGGCCCUGGGAGCUGGGGGCGGAGAGUGAGGUCCGUGUUCCCCUGGGAGGGGUGCUACAGCCCCCCACCCUUCUGGUGCAGAGCUGGCUCUUCCAGGGAGGGGAAGGUCUCCACGGGUUCCUGUCCUCGAGCGGAGAGAGCGCCCUGGGUCUCCUUGGGGCCUUGCUCUGGGACUUUCGCUCCUGUUACCUUCUGACGGCCCGGCCCCCUGGCAUCCUUACACCGUGCCCUCUAACUCCUGCCAGUUCCUUCUGACCGUCCUGGGUGUCUGGAAGGAUGUGUGCUGUGAGCCCCCAGCCAAAACGACCCCUGGGAGCCAUGGAUCAGGACAGUCUCUUUCUGGCCCCCAUUUUCCAGCCUCUUCCCUACACUCUGCCCCCAGAGUGGGGCCCUCGGGCUGGCCCUUGUGUGCCAGGAGAGGGGGCGCAGGCACGAGUGAGGCCUCCUCAGGCUUCCAGACUCUGCCUGGAGCCCCACCCUCAAGGGAGCCUGCCCUGGCUCCUCCUGCCCCACUUCUGGCUCCCUGGAUGCUCUCCAGCCCUUCCCCAGCGGCUGCAUGGCCGCUGUAGCAGCCUGGGAGCCUCCUGAGGACAGGGCCCUGUCCUGCCUACUCCUGUUCCCGCCAGGCACUCGAGCGAGAGCUCUGUGGCUGAGCAGCAGAGAGCUGGGUUGGACUUCAAGGGGCUCUUAGCAAGCCAGGGAGUGGCAAAGCCGCCACGGCCUGUGCCCCCAGGGCACCUCCCAAGACCCUCCUCUGGAGCUCAGCGGUCUGUGCCCUCCGCGGGGUCCCCGGCUUGCUAUGUGCCCCUGGGCACGUGGCAUUCCCUGUCUGGGCCUGCUCCCCUCUCCAUGAAAUGAGGGGGCAGGAGGAGCCGAUCUCUGAGGUCCCUUCCAGCUCAAACACCUUAUGUUCUAUGAAAUCCGUGUGAACGUUGCCAUGGAGACGUUGGAGGAACUGCGGCAGCACUGAACGCAACUUCCACCCGAGAGAGGAGCACUGAGUCACCCCAGCACGUGGGUGACAUCACAGUGAUCUGGGCUGUCAGGGUGUCCAGCUGUCCUGUGACCCUCUGCGGAUGGUUCUUC
This 1218-nucleotide long non-coding RNA is filed under the name Homo sapiens (human). RNAcentral's name for it is "HSALNT0226558". The record is from RNAcentral. Lineage: Eukaryota; Metazoa; Chordata; Mammalia; Primates; Hominidae.